AACGAACGCUGGCGGCAUGCCUAACACAUGCAAGUCGAACGGGAUCCUGGCUUCGGUCAGGUGAGAGUGGCGGACGGGUGAGUAACGCGUGGGAACCUGCCCAGUGGUGGGGGAUAACUGCGGGAAACUGCAGCUAAUACCGCAUGAGCCCGAGAGGGAAAGAUUUAUCGCCAGAAGAGGGGCCCGCGUCCGAUUAGGUAGUUGGUGGGGUAAUGGCCUACCAAGCCGACGAUCGGUAGCUGGUCUGAGAGGAUGAUCAGCCACACUGGGACUGAGAUACGGCCCAGACUCCUACGGGAGGCAGCAGUGGGGAAGUAUUGGACGAAUAGGGGGGCGGAACCCUACGAUCCACGCAAUGCCGCGUGAGUGAUGAAGGG
This 377-nucleotide ribosomal RNA is filed under the name uncultured bacterium. RNAcentral's name for it is "bacterial SSU rRNA". It matches the Rfam family "Bacterial small subunit ribosomal RNA", at positions 29 to 415 of the family's 1533-position model. The record is from RNAcentral.